Molecule: long non-coding RNA, 5272 nt
Organism: Astyanax mexicanus (Mexican tetra)
Lineage: Eukaryota; Metazoa; Chordata; Actinopteri; Characiformes; Acestrorhamphidae
Exons: 3
Source: RefSeq, a predicted model, not a curated record
UUUUUGUUCUUUAAUGAAAGGAUAGAGGUAGCUACACUGCUUUCAGUUUUUUAGAGGGAUCGUAAAUGCAUGUUUUUGAGUUGUACAAUAUAGAACAUAAAUAGAACAUCAACAGAACAAUUUUAUGUUACAACUUUAGAUACUAGGAAUGCUUUGAAUUUAUAGCAUCCGAAAAGAUUAGACUAAAAAUGGCAAAAAUAGCACUUUCAUUGUUCGGCCAAAUAAGUGAAAAGGCUACCAAACAAUGACUUGCCUAUGAGAGCGCUGCUAUAUACAAUGCUAACAGGGAGUGUGGGAGGGAGCCAACAGGGAUCCAUCAAAUGGCAGGUAAAAUAAAGCAUUCAACAUUACAUUUAACACUUUGUAUCAGUUUUUCAGUACUCAGAACAACCUCUUCACAAACCGUCCAUUUUUAAUAUUUCCUUACAUCCAUAGUUUUCGCAGAAUAAUUUGAAUUUAGGUGCAUCCCAAUUAGAUACCCUUCUCACAGUCUGUCUUCCAUAGUCUUAUACUGCUUUAGGUUAGACAAACAGUCUUCCACCACGCCUGUCUCACACUGUUACAUGCCUGUUUUAAAGACUUACGCGUCUGUUUUAUACGCUUGCAGGCUGUAAGUCGUGUUUAUGAGUUUUCAUGCCUGUCUUAUAGCCUUUCACGCCUGUCUAUCAGCCUUGUAUGCCUGUUGUACAGUCUUGCGUACCCCUUAUUGUGUUGAAGAAACUUGUUUACUGCCUUGCACAGAUGUAGUACGAACCUGUUUACAUUCAAACUCAUCUCUCCGCAGCCCUGUUCACUCUCCUGUUCGUGAUAAUCCACCGUUAAACACACCUAACACAAUCCUUCAGUAAACAGUGGAGCGCCAGAAAGUAUCACCAGCUGCCGCGGCACAAUCUCUUCUGUCAGUUCCACUGCAAACAGCUUCCAGAUGUUUGAGGACAUCAGCACCCCCCUAAAAGUCACGUUCACUUUCUGCUUCCGCCUACAACCAGGAAGCGUCACUAGGAGGCCGGUGCCAGCUGAAGUUUCUGUGGCUCUGUCAGCAGCCUGUGAGGACAAUAACUCAAGCUGGUCAUGAGCGUAGAGACAGUGGAGGGCUUUGUUGUGGAUACAUAGGCUUAAGUUGUUUAUGAAAUUGUCCUUCAUUUUACCUUCAUGCUGUACUAUUGUGCUGUCGACCUGUUUACAGAAACGCUGCCUGGCAAUAUGUUGCUAAAAACAAUGUAUAAGAAAAUAGCACUAUUAUAGAACUGUCUAAAAGCCUUGAAGGCUUGUUGAAAGCUUUACAGCCCUUUUAAUGGGCUUAUUGAGCUGUCUUAAAGGAGAAAUCUGGUGUGAAAUAGACUUGGGCUGUAGUGAAACAUAAUAACAAGUAUGAACUGUUGUUGAAUAGCCCACCUUUGUUUGCCCCCAGGAUUCUGAAAAACAGCGCUUUAAGCCGAUGCUCCCAACAGCCUUUUAAUGUUAGAGAUAGGGGCAUAGCGUUGACCAUGCAAAGAAAUUACUAUUUUUAUACCAAUUAAUUUUAAGAUGUUUUUUAAAAUAAAUGACUUGUAAAUGGCUGCACGAUAUUGGAAAAAAUUGACAUUGCAAUGUUUUUUUUUUCCAAUGAUAUACAGGUCUGGAAAAAAAAAUAAGAGACCACUUUAAAAUUAUGAGUUUGUUUGAUUUUACCAAAUUGAAAACCUCUGGAAUAUAAUCAAGAGGAAGAUGGAUGAACAGAAGCCAUCAAACCAAACUGAACUGCUUAAAUUUGUGCGCCAGGAGUGCAGGCAUAAAGUUAUCCAAAAGCAGUGUGUUAGACUGGUGGAGGAGAACAUGCCAAGAUGCAUGAAAACUGUGAUUAAAAACCAGUGUUAUUCCAUCAAAUAUUGAUUUCUGAACUCUUAAAAAUGUAUAAUUAUGAACUUUUCUUUUUUUUGCAUUAUUUGAGGUCUGAAAACUGAAAACAUCAUUUUUGUUAUUUCAGCCUUUUCUCAUUUUCUCCAAAUAAAUGCUCUAAAUGAGAAUAUUUGUAUUUGGAAUUUGGGAGAAAUGUUGUCCGUAGUUUAUAGAAUAAAACAACAAUGUUCAUUUUACUCAAACAUAUACCUAUAAAUAGCACACUCAGCUAAACUGAUUCAAAAACUAAAGUGGUCUCUUAUAUUUUUUUCAGAGCUGUAUCUAUGCAAUAUUAUGUUUGUUAUUUUAAUAUUAUUGCAGCCCUGCUUUACAAUUAUUUCCAAAUAUAAGUUUUACUUUAAAGCUUUAGAUACUGAGGAUGCUGUACAUUACAGCAUCAGGAGGACUGUCUUAAAUCUUUGCCGACUUGUUUACUGCUUUAAAGGCCAUUUUUACAGUAUUAUGGGAUUGUUUUAAAGCCAUAGAGACUCGUCUGCACUCCUGUAGACAGAUCCUAAAGGCUUAUAGAUUUGUUGAUGGCCUGUAUUAAAGACUGAUUAACUUGUCAAACAGCCUGUUAACAGCAUUAUGGGCCUGUCUUAAAACCCUUACAGACUUGUCUCUGGCCUUGUAAACCUAUGUAGGUAUCUUAUUGAACUUAAAGCCUUUAAAUUGCUAUAUAUCAUCUUCAUUACAGUAUCACAAUGUAUAGCAAUAUAUUAAAUCGUAACGCCUGUAUUGUGAUAUGUAUCAUAUACCCACAUUUUUAAACUGCCCUUCUGAAUAAGCUGUUUACUACAGGGUAACUGGACCAAAAGUACUGAACCUGGAUUGGCUCCAUUUGUCCAUGUUUUGUAGUAUGUUGUUUGGAAGCAACUAGAUUAUUUAAUAUGGGUUUGAUACAUUGUUUAAAAAUAAACCAAUAUUUUUGUGCAGAAAGCUACAUUUUUUUGCUGUUUUCUUUGAUGAAAACAUUUAAACCAAAGGAAGACCUGCAGAAUUGGCUGAGCGCUGAAGCUAAAAACAUGCAAAGCUCUUGUUACGUGGUUAAACUUUAACUCAUUUCCAGAGAAUGUAAGGGGUUCCAAAAACGUUUAAUCUGCCGUGUGUGUUUACUAUCCUCUGUUCUCUUUUUCUUUACACUCAGUUCAAACAGAACUGCACUCUGCAUGAGUAUUACAACAAAACAGCAUGGUGGAAAAUUAGUUGUUCAGUUUUGGGUUUUAGUAUUCGGUUAUGUUAUUGUUAUGUUAAAGGUGAGGUAUAUCUUUUUCCUGUGGGUCUUUUUCCUUAGCUGUUACUGGUAUUAUGUUAUGCAUGCUCUAGGCUGGUGUUCCGAUAGUCUAGGUGGUUAAAAAGCUGCUCAGCCAGGCAGCAACAUACCUCAUACUGGUGAACUAGCUGUUUCGCAAGCUCUUGAUAGAGUGAGGGGGAAGAAGGUAUCGAGAGGCAGGGCAAGGUAAAGUGAGGGAGAGACACAAAGAGCAAGAUAAAGUGAGGUACAGAAUGAGAGGUAGAAUGAGGCAAAACAAAGUAGAGGCAGGUAGCAUGAGGCAGGGUAAUGUAAAGUGAGGUAAAAUGAGGUAGGGCAAGGUAGAGCGAGUCAGAGUGAAGUAGAGGCAUGUAGCAUGAGGCAGGGCAAUGUAAAAUAAGGUGGACCAAGGUAGAGUGAGGUAAAAAAAAAAAAGUAGCGUAAUAAGUGAGUGAGGUAGGGCAAGGUAGAGUGAGGUAGAAUAAGGUAGAGUAAAAUAGAGUGAGUCAGAGUAAGGUAGAGCGAGUCAGAGUGAGGUAGAGCAAGGUGGAGUGAGGUAGCAAGGUGACAGAGUAAGGUAGAGCAAGGUGAAGUGAGGUAGCAAGGUGACAGGGUGAGGUAGAGCAAGGUGGAGUGAGGUAGCAAGGUGACAAAGUAAGGUAGAGCAAGGUAGAGGCAGGUAGCAGGUGGUAGAGUGAGGAAGCAUUAGGGAGAGUGAGGUAGUGUAAGUUAGUAUGAGGUAGAGUGAGGUAGAGUUCCACAGUAAACACUCAUCAAACUACUUAUUAGUCCAGGAUCGAGAGCAGGCCAAGCCAAGUGUCAGAAACCCUGAGAGAAGCUUAAAUUAUUUUAUUUCAGAUCUAAAUUUAUCUGGUUUUACAUUGAUAUCGAAAUAUACAACAGCAUUAUGGCACAGCAGAUUGUUUAUGAGACACUAUAAUCUCAUGUUUAUAAAAGUCUAUAUUUUGGUGAAGCAGGAGAAAUCGAGUGUAAGGUUCUGUUCUGAUGUGUAGCCGUUGUGAGGUGUGAAGUUUUCAGAGCUACACUGAUGUAGGGGAAUCCCAGGCUACUGCAUUUACUGUAAGUUGGGAGCUUUGCUGAGUGAGACACCUAACCAGUGAAGACGUAUUGUUCAGUGGCGUGUGAAACGGGCUCAGAGCCGUUAGUCUGGCCACCACUCGUCCUCCAGCCAAGAGUAUUAUGCAAAUCACUAUACAGCACCGUGACUAACGUCUGAUUGAUGUGUUUGAGGAGACUGCCUGGGCUCUUUUAUUUAUCUCCUGUGAAGAAGAAGAGGGUUUCAGGCUACUUUUUUUUCUGAUGUCCUUUUUUCCAUCACUUUUUUUGUGAAUGUGUUUAAGGAAACUUAAUCAGUACUUUUGUAAAAAAAACAACAACAUCUAAUCUAAUCUAAUCUUACUUUAAAACUCCUCUUAAAUCAAGACUUCUGAACAGAACUGUCAAGAUGUACCGGCUCAAAAUGUGUUGUGAUAAACGAUAUAAUUGUCAUAUUAAAGACCCAUUAAUUCCACUGAUAUUUGAAGAUCAAUGAAUUUUUGAUCAUUAAGAGCAUUCAGAUGUCACAAAAAAAUAAAAAAUGGUUAAAUAUCUUAAAUAAAUGAGCAAAACUAAUUAAAUAAAAUCUUGCAGACCUUGUAGAUGGAGUUUUAGGCCCAAUCCCAUUUCACCCCUUGGUCCUACCACUUUCCCCUACCCCUUCUUUUCGAGUGUACCCCUUCCCCUUGAAACAGACUUACAAGCAGAAGGGGUAAAAUCCUCCACCCUAAGAAUUGGGACAACCUUUCAAGAAAGGGGGAAAAUUGUGCAGAAACUAAUUAUUAUUGCCAAUCCCUAAUUCCUUUGUAAUGGGGAGCUGAAAUUAGCUUUGAUUAGCUUUUAUUUUAUUUUAUUUUAUUUGUCCAUUCCGCCUUAAAUGCUGCAGCCCCUGCCAUCUGUUGCUCCAUUUAAGGUGGAACGGGAAAGUUAGAUAAGCUAGCUAGUUAGCUACUAAGACAAACUACUAGCAAUCUUUUUUUAUGCUUGUUCAUAAGAAUUCAGCCAUAGAACAUCGAAACUACACAUUAAAAUCUGGUAAAAUAGUGCUAAGCGUCACUUUUUUUUUUUUUUACAUUUAUGGGUUUC